UGAUGCAUGGCCGUCGUCAGUUCGUGGUUUGAAUUGUACCCUUAAGUGGGCUAACGAACGCAACCCUCGUUGUGUGUUACAAGUGUCACACGAGACCGCCCCCGCCAAAGCGCACGAAGUGCGCAGGCUCUAGGAAACUAGGCUUUAGGCUUUAGCAAAAUAUAAAUUGCUAGCGCCUAGUGCCUAACGCCUAAUGCCUGCGAAGUAACUUCGCGAAUUUCGGCGGGGGAGGAAGGAGAGGAUGACGCCAGGUCAGCAUGUCCCUUGAUACCCUGGGCUACACACAUAAUACAAUGGCCGUUACAACGCGCAGCGACGAGGCGACUCUGAGCUAAUCGUCCAAAAGCGGCCUAAGUUCGGAUUGGAGUCUGCAACUCGACUCCAUGAAGCUGGAAUUGCUAGUAAUCACAGGUCAGCUAAACUGUGGUGAAUACGUUCUCAAGUCUUGUACUCACCGCCCGUCAAGUCAAGGGAGCCGGGAGUACCCGAAGUAUCCGCAUAAGCGGGUCCUAAGGUAAGCUCGGUGACAGGGACUAAGUCGUAACAAGGCACGGCUAGCGGAAGCUGGUCGUGGAUUAAUUCAAUU
Molecule: ribosomal RNA, 586 nt
Filed under: Minisyncoccota bacterium
Lineage: Bacteria; Bacillati; Minisyncoccota
Description: bacterial SSU rRNA
Rfam family: Bacterial small subunit ribosomal RNA
Source: RNAcentral